Long non-coding RNA from Cavia porcellus (domestic guinea pig), 328 nucleotides. RefSeq lists it as uncharacterized. The record is from RefSeq and is a predicted model, not a curated record. Lineage: Eukaryota; Metazoa; Chordata; Mammalia; Rodentia; Caviidae. The transcript has 2 exons.
AUCACUGUGAAUUGCUCAGUGAAGAUGGUGUCAGAGCUGCUCAACUGUAUGUGGAAAUUUCUCUCCAGAUAUAAACAUCUGCAAAAAAUAAAUAGGGAUGGAAAAGCUCCACCCUGAGUUGCCUCAUACAGGUGGUGUUUACUGUGCCCCUGGACUGCAUGAAGAAGACGUUAAAGCCAGAUGUGAUGAUGCACACCUGUGAUCCCAGCACUCAAGGAGACUGACGUAGGAAGAUCACAGGUUCAAGCUCCAGCCUGUGCAACUCAGUAACUUAGCAAAACCCUGUAUCAUAAUUUAAAAAAUAAAUAAAUAAAAGCCUGGGAAUAUA